RNAcentral lists this long non-coding RNA (323 nucleotides) under Homo sapiens (human). Its description in RNAcentral is "HSALNT0257019". The record is from RNAcentral. Lineage: Eukaryota; Metazoa; Chordata; Mammalia; Primates; Hominidae.
AUUUCAUACAUUUCUAUGGUGUAGUAUAAUUUUUUUUAUGCAUAGAAAAGUUGGAGGUGUUGGGAAAAGCACUGUCACAUCUUUCAAGUUUGUAAAGUUCCUCUUCAGCAUGAAUUAUCACCAUGUCUCUUAAGAACUGAGAACUUGUGGCUGGGCAUGGAUGCUCAUGACUGUAAUCCCAGCAUUUUAGGAGGCCAAGGUGUGUGAAUCACAGUUGGAGACCAGCCUGUUAAAUAUGGCAAAACCCUGUCUCUACCAAAAAUACAAAAAUUAGUUGGGCAUGGUGGUGGAGGCUGAAGCAGGUUAAUGGCUUGAACCAGGAG